Molecule: ribosomal RNA, 546 nt
Filed under: uncultured Pseudoalteromonas sp.
Lineage: Bacteria; Pseudomonadati; Pseudomonadota; Gammaproteobacteria; Alteromonadales; Pseudoalteromonadaceae
Description: bacterial SSU rRNA
Rfam family: Bacterial small subunit ribosomal RNA
Source: RNAcentral
CGGGAAGCCUCGCGUGUGCUCGUAGAUUAGAGUUUGAUCCUGGCUCAGAUUGAACGCUGGCGGCAGGCCUAACACAUGCAAGUCGAGCGGUAACAUUUCUAGCUUGCUAGAAGAUGACGAGCGGCGGACGGGUGAGUAAUGCUUGGGAACAUGCCUUGAGGUGGGGGACAACAGUUGGAAACGACUGCUAAUACCGCAUAAUGUCUACGGACCAAAGGGGGCUUCGGCUCUCGCCUUUAGAUUGGCCCAAGUGGGAUUAGCUAGUUGGUGAGGUAAUGGCUCACCAAGGCGACGAUCCCUAGCUGGUUUGAGAGGAUGAUCAGCCACACUGGGACUGAGACACGGCCCAGACUCCUACGGGAGGCAGCAGUGGGGAAUAUUGCACAAUGGGCGCAAGCCUGAUGCAGCCAUGCCGCGUGUGUGAAGAAGGCCUUCGGGUUGUAAAGCACUUUCAGUCAGGAGGAAAGGUUAGUAGUUAAUACCUGCUAGCCGUGACGUUACUGACAGAAGAAGCACCGGCUAACUCCGUGCCAGCCGCCGCGGUAA